Molecule: long non-coding RNA, 514 nt
Organism: Manis pentadactyla (Chinese pangolin)
Lineage: Eukaryota; Metazoa; Chordata; Mammalia; Pholidota; Manidae
Exons: 2
Source: RefSeq, a predicted model, not a curated record
AGUCCAGGACGCUGUUGGGGAAUGAGGGUCUCUUACAUUGGCAGCAGCGAUGGUCUGACAGCGGUCAGCAAAAUCUGCCUUCCAAGUUAAAAACUGACCACGGGUAAGCACAGCCUGGACUAUACGCAGCCAUUCACCUGGGAGUAAAUGUCCUCCUCGAGACAGCGAAUCAAGAACAGAAAGGGUAAAAGGGGCAUUGGGGCCAUAAGCUUUAACGGCCGCGUUCAGCUCUUUUAAGCUUUUGAAAUGGAUUUUGUGAAAUUCUCUAGGGCCAUCAGCAGGCUCGGCCGGCUCUGGCUCAGCCUGCUCCUCUCCCUCACUUUCUAUUUCCUGAGCAGCAGGGGCGUCUUCGCCGUCGCUUUCAAGAUCGCCCUCUUCCGGACUAUGUGUUGUGGAGGUGGGGCCAGAGCGGGCGGAGGCCCGGGAUGAAUUUCGGGGCCAUUAAUGAUAAACCACGGACAGACUUCAUCAACAAAAAUAAAAAACUUUACCAAGUCUUUCUUUUUAACUCGAA